GAGAGAAGAGAGCCUGAGGGCCCAGCGCACUUCUCACCAUGGAUUGGCUGCUUCGUCAGGUGCACAAGUGCAUGCAUAGCCUUUCAUCCAGCCAGCUGUGACCAAGGUGGAAAAGCUCAGCAGCACAUAUGCAGUAAGGAGGCUGCUCUCCUGUGACUCCCCUCGGAGGGGAUUAGUGUCUGGCACUGACAAGCGUGGCUGUCUUUCUUGUUGGAGGUACCUGACAAGGAGUGCUGUUCCAGGGCUUCUUCGCUUCUCUGUUUCUGUGGCCUUCCUGACAUUUAAAGGCUGAUGACAGGCUGCAUACUUCUGACUCAUGACAACAGUAAAGGAUAUGAAGCACAGGACUGACCUUCCAUUAACGAGGAAAAGCUGUUUGGUUGAGCUUACAAGGAAGACCUGGAGUCUGUUAUCUGUGCGCUAGUCAGAUUUCCAACAGCCACAGCUCACUGGCUCUGACUUAAGGCCCGGCAUUUCUGCCUUAAAAAUAAAAAGCGAUCAGCUGUGAAGACCGCACAGACGUGACUGUCCUGUGAACUCUGGUCUGCCAUCAGCCACACAGAUUUAACUCAUCCUCUCCCACCAUCUCCAGCUUCCAUCGGGUUUUCUGGUCCAACCUCUCCUUGGCUUUUUCCUCCCAUUGACCACCCUGCUGCCUUUAUUCUGGGCCAUUUCCCGGACCGAGCACAGCCUUCCUGGGCUGUCUUCCUCACCUCCACGCCCUCUUCCACCUGCAGAGGGGCUGCCUGGCUUUUUACACCGUGAGUCCUCUGCUGCGAGGAUGCCCUUUGCUCUUGCGGGAUCGGCCUUUGUACAGCCCUCAUGCACCUUGUCUCGCCUCCUGAGAUUCUGUCUGGAACCCUCUGUCACCUGGUCCCAGAAGGAACUUUGUCCCUGAAAGCUCAUCUACUGCACGAGGACUUGGCUGUUUUACACGGAGCUGCUACUCACCUGAUGCACAGGGGCACCGUGAGGAGCUCCCUUAAUCAGGAAACAAGGGAUGUAAACUCAUGCUCUGGCAGCUAACCUGAACACUGACACAAGGCAGAGAAGUCCUAAUCCAUCUGUAGUAGGAAGAGUAGUUUCCACACUUGCACAGUUGGAUUAUAACAAAGCUGAAACCCUAGGGGCCAGAUUUGUUUUGCAGUUCAGGUCGCUUUCCUGCAGCACAGUGAAUCUCGGUUACAAGGCUUGUGGGGUCCACCACGAAGGGGAGGUUCCGUGAAGGACACUCACCUUCUCCUCAUCAAGGCUCUGGUGCUGGCAGUGAGCCCUCAGUCCUCGAAGAAUUCCCAGAUGGCGCUGAUUCCCGAACACCAAGCAACCCCGUUGUGACAGUGCCCACCUGGAGAUAGAUCAGACUGCACAGGCUGGGAGUCAGGCUUCAAGACUGCAGCCUCAGUUUCCAAAACCAGUCCCAACCCUCAGCUUGUUUUCCCUGCUUCUGACAGAGUAGGUGUAAACGAACUCCCCACAUCCUUCUUGGCUCCCAUUAAUUUGCUGCAGAGGACCCAGCAACUAGAAACAGAACUCAGAGUAACCAUGAUGUUUACUGAUUUAUCAUAAAACACACAGAAGAGGAGAUGCACAGGGAGAGAUUUGUGGGGAGGCCAUGGAGUGUCUGGAAGCUCCGCGAAGCCUAUCCUUGAGGGGUUUUAUGGAAACUCGUAAUGUAGGUAUGAUCAAUUAAACCACAGGCUAUUGGGGAUCAGCUCAGCUUCUGGCCCUCUCCCCUCCCUGGAGGCUGAGGGAGAGGAAGUUAAAAGCUCCCCUCUGUGAUCCUGCUUUGUGUUCCUGGUGAUCAGCCCCCUUCCUGAAGCUACCUAGGAACUGCCCGCCGUGCCAUCUGUGGUUGGGUCAUUAGCAUGCAACAGACACUUAUCACUUGGAAGAGUCCAUGGACUUGAAGAGCAGCAUGCCAGGCAACAGAGUGAAGACAAAACAUCUCUUACAGCAUCACACCCACAAGUGCCCUGGGCAUUGCAGUUUAAAAUCUGUCACGCUGGGUGUGCUGAACUGCAGUGCUCCUGAAUAUUCUUGGUAAAGAAACUGUAGCCACCAUUUUUCAUCUUGAAGCCAAAGAUGAAAUCCCUAAAAGCCCAAAUCUCCUCAUUUGCUACCCUUAAAAAUAAAUUGGAAUUUCCUUAAGGGACUUUGGGUCCUCAAAGACUCAGGGAAAUUUCUGUAUUCAACUAUGAUCUAGUCUUUUUACAUUUUGGGACACAAACCUGAAGA
Molecule: non-coding RNA, 2235 nt
Organism: Heterocephalus glaber (naked mole-rat)
Lineage: Eukaryota; Metazoa; Chordata; Mammalia; Rodentia; Bathyergidae
Source: RefSeq, a predicted model, not a curated record